This 460-nucleotide ribosomal RNA is filed under the name uncultured bacterium. Its description in RNAcentral is "partial 16S ribosomal RNA". It matches the Rfam family "Bacterial small subunit ribosomal RNA", at positions 338 to 795 of the family's 1533-position model. The record is from RNAcentral.
CCUACGGGAGGCAGCAGUGAGGAAUAUUGGUCAAUGGGCGGGAGCCUGAACCAGCCAAGUCGCGUGAGGGAAGACGGUCCUACGGAUUGUAAACCUCUUUUGCCGGGGAGCAACGGGGUCCUUGCGAGGGCCCAAUGAGAGUACCCGGAGAAAAAGCAUCGGCUAACUCCGUGCCAGCAGCCGCGGUAAUACGGAGGAUGCGAGCGUUAUCCGGAUUUAUUGGGUUUAAAGGGUGCGUAGGCGGACGCUUAAGUCAGCGGUAAAAUUGCGGGGCUCAACCUCGUCGAGCCGUUGAAACUGGGUGCCUUGAGUGGGCGAGAAGUACGCGGAAUGCGUGGUGUAGCGGUGAAAUACAUAGAUAUCACGCAGAACUCCGAUUGCGAAGGCAGCGUACCGGCGCCCAACGGACGCUGAAGCACGAAGGCGUGGGUAUCGAACAGGAUUAGAUACCCUAGUAGUC